GAUGAACGCUGGCGGCGUGCCUAAUACAUGCAAGUCGAGCGAACAGAUGAGAAGCUUGCUUCUCUGAUGUUAGCGGCGGACGGGUGAGUAACACGUGGGUAACCUACCUAUAAGACUGGGAUAACUCCGGGAAACCGGGGCUAAUACCGGAUAAUAUUUUGAACCGCAUGGUUCAAUAGUGAAAGACGGUUUCGGCUGUCACUUAUAGAUGGACCCGCGCCGUAUUAGCUAGUUGGUAAGGUAACGGCUUACCAAGGCGACGAUACGUAGCCGACCUGAGAGGGUGAGCGGCCACGCUGGAACUGAGACACGGUCCAGACUCCUACGUGAGGCAGCAGUAGGGAAUCUUCCGCAAUGGGCGAAAGCCUGACGGAGCAACGCCGCGUGAGUGAUGAAGGUCUUCGGAUCGUAAAACUCUGUUGUUAGGGAAGAACAAAUUUGUUAGUAACUGAACAAGUCUUGACGGUACCUAACCAGAAAGCCACGGCUAACUACGUGCCAGCCGCCGCAGUAA
RNAcentral lists this ribosomal RNA (514 nucleotides) under uncultured bacterium. RNAcentral's name for it is "partial 16S ribosomal RNA". It matches the Rfam family "Bacterial small subunit ribosomal RNA", at positions 28 to 523 of the family's 1533-position model. The record is from RNAcentral.